UUCGGGAAACCGGAGCUAAUACCGGAUAAGAUAUCGAACCGCAUGGUUCGAUAGUGAAAGANGGUUUUGCUAUCACUUAUAGAUGGACCCGCGCCGUAUUAGCUAGUUGGUGAGGUAACGGCUCACCAAGGCAACGAUACGUAGCCGACCUGAGAGGGUGAUCGGCCACACUGGAACUGAGACACGGUCCAGACUCCUACGGGAGGCAGCAGUC
RNAcentral lists this ribosomal RNA (214 nucleotides) under uncultured Staphylococcus sp. RNAcentral describes it as "partial 16S ribosomal RNA". It matches the Rfam family "Bacterial small subunit ribosomal RNA", at positions 148 to 355 of the family's 1533-position model. Lineage: Bacteria; Bacillati; Bacillota; Bacilli; Caryophanales; Staphylococcaceae. The record is from RNAcentral.